RNAcentral lists this ribosomal RNA (497 nucleotides) under uncultured bacterium. RNAcentral's name for it is "partial 16S ribosomal RNA". It matches the Rfam family "Bacterial small subunit ribosomal RNA", at positions 28 to 507 of the family's 1533-position model. The record is from RNAcentral.
GACGAACGCUGGCGGCGUGCCAAAUACAUGCAAGUUGAGCGCUGAAGGUUGGUACUUGUACCAACUGGAUGAGCAGCGAACGGGUGAGUAACGCGUGGGGAAUCUGCCUUUGAGCGGGGGACAACAUUUGGAAACGAAUGCUAAUACCGCAUAAAAACUUUAAACACAAGUUUUAAGUUUGAAAGAUGCAAUUGCAUCACUCAAAGAUGAUCCCGCGUUGUAUUAGCUAGUUGGUGAGGUAAAGGCUCACCAAGGCGAUGAUACAUAGCCGACCUGAGAGGGUGAUCGGCCACAUUGGGACUGAGACACGGCCCAAACUCCUACGGGAGGCAGCAGUAGGGAAUCUUCGGCAAUGGACGAAAGUCUGACCGAGCAACGCCGCGUGAGUGAAGAAGGUUUUCGGAUCGUAAAACUCUGUUGGUAGAGAAGAACGUUGGUGAGAGUGGAAAGCUCAUCAAGUGACGGUAACUACCCGGAAAGGGACGGCUAACUACGUG